GGACGAACGCCGGGCGGCGUUGCCUUUAUACAUGCAAGUCCGAGCGAAGGUUUUUUUUGGUGCUUGCAACUAGAAAAAACUUAGCGGGCGGACCGGGGUGAAGUAAACACGGUAAAGGAACCUUGCCUCAUAGACUUGGGGACAACUUAUUGGGAAACGAUAGCCUAAUACCCGGAUAAUUAGCAUUAACCUGCCAUGGUUGAUUGUUUGAAAAGUUGGUUUUUUCCUACCACUUAUGAGAAUGGCUUUUCCGGUGCAUUAGCUAGUUGGUGGGGGAAAAGGCCUACCCAAGGCGACGGAUGCAUAGCCGACCGAGAGGGUAUCGGCCACACUGGGACUGAGACACGGCCCAGACUCCUACGGGAGGCCGCAGUAGGGAAUUUUCCGCAAAGGGCGAAAACCUGACGGAGCAACGCCCGUGAGUGAAGAAGGAUUUCGGUUCGUAAAGCUCUGUUGUUAGGGAAGAAUGAUUAUGUAGUAACUAUACAUAGUAGAGACGGUACCUAACCAGAAAACCACGGCUAACUACGUGCCAGCAGCCGCGGUAAUACGUAGGUGGCAAGCGUUGUCCGGAAUUAUUGGGCGUAAAGCGCGCGCAGGUGGUUUAAUAAGUCUGAUGUGAAAGCCCACGGCUCAACCGUGGAGGGUCAUUGGAAACUGUUAAACUUGAGUGCAGGAGAGAAAAGUGGAAUUCCUAGUGUAGCGGUGAAAUGCGUAGAGAUUAGGAGGAACACCAGUGGCGAAGGCGGCUUUUUGGCCUGUAACUGACACUGAGGCGCGAAAGCGUGGGGAGCAAACAGG
RNAcentral lists this ribosomal RNA (801 nucleotides) under uncultured Pseudomonas sp. Its description in RNAcentral is "bacterial SSU rRNA". It matches the Rfam family "Bacterial small subunit ribosomal RNA", at positions 27 to 776 of the family's 1533-position model. The record is from RNAcentral. Lineage: Bacteria; Pseudomonadati; Pseudomonadota; Gammaproteobacteria; Pseudomonadales; Pseudomonadaceae.